CAGAUUCAUUUUCUGCCGCCGAAUACAUUAGCAUGGGAUAAUGGAAUAGGACCCUGUCCUCCUAUUUUCAGUUGGUUUUGGCAGCGCGAGGACUAGGGUAAUGAUUAAUAGGGAUAGUUGGGGGCAUUAAUAUUUAAUUGUCAGAGGUGAAAUUCUUGGAUUUAUGAAAGAUUAACUUCUGCGAAAGCAUCUGCCAAGGAUGUUUUCAUUAAUCAAGAACGAAAGUUAGGGGAUCGAAGACGAUCAGAUACCGUCGUAGUCUUAACCAUAAACGAUGCCGACCAGCGAUUAGGAGACGUUGAAUACAAAACACCACCAUCGGCGCGGUCGUCCUUGGCGUUCGUGUUCACGCACGGGCGCGAGGGCGGCUUAGCCCGAUGGCACCGGUGAAUGACUCCCCUAGCAGCAUUGUGAGAA
RNAcentral lists this ribosomal RNA (417 nucleotides) under Acanthamoeba sp. Its description in RNAcentral is "SSU rRNA". It matches the Rfam family "Eukaryotic small subunit ribosomal RNA", at positions 781 to 1098 of the family's 1831-position model. The record is from RNAcentral. RNAcentral also lists the same sequence under 1 other name. Lineage: Eukaryota; Discosea; Longamoebia; Acanthamoebidae.